CCCAGCACUCCUCCCUGGAGCAGAGCUCUCCUCCGCAGAGUAACACCCCAGGAACUCCUCCUUCCUACAAACUGCCUCCACUGCUCGGGAACUACGAGAGCAAAGAUGAUUUCCCGCUCCGCAAGACGGUCUCGGAGCCCAACCUGAAGGUGCGUUCACGGUUGAAGCAGAAGGUGGCGGAGAGGCGGAGCUCUCCACUUCUCCGCAGGAAGGAUGGAACCGUCAUCAGCACCUUUAAGAAGAGAGCCAUAGAGAUAUCAGUCUCGUCCCUCUGUAACAGCGCUCCAGGUUCAGGUCCCAGCAGUCCCAACAGUUCCAACUCAGCUAUCGCCAACGGCAACACGGGAUCAGUCCCCAACAUACAGACUGAGCUGAGAUCUCUCCAUCAAACGCUGGGGGCUGAUGGGACACUGAGUCCGCUGAGUCUCUACACUUCGCCCUCGCUGCCAAAUAUUUCCCUGGGGCUCCCUGCGAACACUCACAUCACGGUC
Paralichthys olivaceus (Japanese flounder) is the source of this 491-nucleotide non-coding RNA. NCBI's taxonomy places the organism in Eukaryota, Metazoa, Chordata, Actinopteri, Pleuronectiformes, Paralichthyidae. The record is from RefSeq and is a predicted model, not a curated record.